AGUGGAUUCGAAGGAAAAGCUUUUCUAUCAUUUUGUGGUGGUGUUUCUACUGUGACCUGUAAUUGAGCCCUCACCAGGGUGAUUUUCUCAGGAACAAAAUGUCCAGGCUGGGGCAUAAUUCUUGGAAGCCAAUUGAAUUGAUACAAAGCCUCAAUUUAGAAAUUGGACAUCA
RNAcentral lists this long non-coding RNA (172 nucleotides) under Oryctolagus cuniculus (rabbit). RNAcentral describes it as "lncRNA (ENSOCUG00000036622.1)". Lineage: Eukaryota; Metazoa; Chordata; Mammalia; Lagomorpha; Leporidae. The record is from RNAcentral.